GAUGGCGUUAUAUACGCGUAUAUUAUAUGUAUAUGGGAUAUGAGAAAAGGUUACGGCGUUAUAUACGCACCACCACCUGAUCAGCUGGUAUACGUUGAUGAUUUUCCCACAUUGGCCGAGAUGAUAUGAUGGGAUGUCCUCAGAGGCUUGAUGAUGUUAUGAAUGCAUAUACCUAUUCAUGGUAUGACAUUUUACGCAUAUGCAUGACAUUAUAGAUAUGAAAUGAUUCACAGAGUUAUUCAGACUUACAUGUUGAGUUUUUUACUCCAUGUUUCUCUCAUGUUUAUUACUUACUGAUUUUCAUUCCUUACAUACUCGGUACAUUAUUUGUACUGACGUCCCUUUUGCCUGGGGACGCUGCGUUUCAUGCCUGCAGGUCCCGAUAGACAGGUCGAGAGUCCUCCAACUAGGCUAUCAGCUCAGCGGAAGAUGUUGGUGCGCUCCAUUUGCUCCGGAGUUGCUUGUUCGGUCAGUAUGAUUUAGACGUGUAUUGUUUGGUAUGACGGGGCUCUGUCCCAACCUUUAUGACGAUUAUGUAUUCUUAGAGGCUUGUAGAUAGAUGUCAUGUACGUAAAAGAUUGUAUGGCCUUGUCGGCCUGUGUUCAGUGUACGAAUGGUUAUUUUGGUCUUAUAGGCCCGUAUGUCUUAUGUAUAAGUUGGUAUUUUAUGUUGUAUUCUACUUAUCUCACGGCAACCUCUCCGGCUUAGUUAUCUAUGAUAGUAUGAUAUGAAAACAUACGUUAUGUUGGUACUCGGUUGAGUAAGGUACCAGGUGCCCGUCGUGGCCCAACGGUUUGGGUCGUGACAAAAGUGGUAUCAGAGCAGUUCUGUCCUAGGUAGUCUAAGAGCCGUGUUUAUGGGUGUGUUGUGCACCACACUUAUCAGGCUACAAGGCAUUUAGGACUGUCACUCUUUCUUUGUACUCUAGAUCGUAUGGUAGAGCUCAGUUGUAAGAACUCAAUCUCCUCAACUCUAUCUUAAUACGACGAUGCCUACCUCUAGAAAGACG
Molecule: long non-coding RNA, 1009 nt
Filed under: Nicotiana tabacum (common tobacco)
Lineage: Eukaryota; Viridiplantae; Streptophyta; Magnoliopsida; Solanales; Solanaceae
Description: long non-coding RNA (NTAB_LNC009120)
Source: RNAcentral